CUAUCACAGCUUCACAAAUAAGUUACUCUUACAUUGUACACCUCUUGUUCCUUCGGGCAGACCUCUGAGAGAAAAUAGCCAUUGGGCUACUCUUAUAAAUUAAAUCUGUCAUGCUUAUCAGCUAAAUGACUAUGCAACAAAUUUGAUUAGUCCAUUAGUGUAGAUAUCAUUUGGAGUAUGAACCACUAAUUUUCAAAGAAUAAAUCAUCAUAAACUAACAGCAGAUUGAUUAUGAGAUGAUUCAUAGCACAUAAACUUGUAAGCCAAAAUAACAAUGAAUCUGUGAUAAUAGACCUACACAACGAUACUGAACAAUUGUGUAAGCAAGUCAAGAGACAAAUCCAAUCACCAUAUUUAGUUUAGAUGAGCACCCAAAACUAGAAAUUUACACAGAAUCGAUUGCAAUAGAAUACAGUAAUGGAAUCAAAUACAAAUAACAUCAAAUAAUUCAAACUUUAUUCAUAACUGCAACAGAAAGCUAAUAGGCAAAUUUAUACAUGCCUAAUGGCGGGAAAUAACAAAUAAAGGACCAAAUAAAGGUCAGAAAACCAGGUAUGAAGCCAAGUUCAAUAGAGAAGCACAAGCAACAGCAGUAUAGAAGGAUUAGCUUCCAAAACCCUUUUUUUGUUUUUUUCUUUCUAAGUCUAAACUCAGAUUUCAGAGAGAAAAGAAAAAGAAAAUCAGUGUGUUCUUGAGUGUAUUUGAGAGAGAUGUUCAGUGCCCAUCCAUUUUCUUUUCUUUUUUCAAAAUGAAUGAGGAGAAGAUCUUUUUAUAGAAGAUUUUAGGGCAACCAGAUAUCUGAUUUUUAAUUCACUUCCACCCUUCAAACUUUUUAUUUUACCCCCUAGGAUCCCAAAAAAAUCUGAACUGUAUUUAUUUUCUUUGCAGAAAACCAACCUUAUCCUCUAGAAACUUCUUUAGUUAUAACAAAAAAUAUUCUUCAAGUCAAAAAACCUAAAUUAAUCCCCUAAUACCCCUGUAUUUACUUCUCAAACAAUACCAAUAACUGGGUCAUCUAACCAAAGGCUUAGGCUCGAACAAAUGGGGCUUCUACUUUCCAAGCCGAUGACACACAAAAUUCCAAAUACAGACAAACCAAAGAUCGAAUGACAAACAUUGUAAAAUUAUAAAUAUUGAAAUUUUAAAAGCUUGAUUGAACUAAUUAUAAUGAUAAUAAACUAUAAGCCAAACUUGUUAAUUAACAAAAGACCCUAAACAAAAUAAUAAUUAAACAAAAGUAAAUAGAAAAUCUUAUCAACAAUUAAAAUAACCAUUAUUAUUCUCCUUCUCUUUUUUUUUUUAACAAAGCAACAAAACAAGAUAGGAGGGACAAGAGAAUACCUAAUGAGAAAGAAAGACGAUUUGAAGUGAAUCCAUGAAGUUUGGCCGGAUUUCGACAAUUCGAGAUGAACUAAAACUUACAUUAAUCAACGGAUCUUGACAAGAACCAUUAGCUAAUGUUAGUUUUAACUCAAAACAGGCUAAAAUCAAUGGAGAUAUCAACAAAAAAAAAUUGGCAUUUCUGGCCUUUUUGGAUCUAACACCUAGGGAGUUCUAGGGUGUUUCCAAAGAAGCUAAAAUGAGAUAUGAGAUGAGGAGGAAGAGAGGAUUAUGGGGUGUGAAUUUGGGUGGAUUUGGAGGAGUUAUGGUGGCGGCCACCGGUGGAGGAUUGUUGGGCGGCUAGGGUUAGAAUUGAGAGAGAGAUGGGGAAAUGGGGAGGGUUCUGUGAGGUU
Molecule: long non-coding RNA, 1733 nt
Filed under: Nicotiana tabacum (common tobacco)
Lineage: Eukaryota; Viridiplantae; Streptophyta; Magnoliopsida; Solanales; Solanaceae
Description: long non-coding RNA (NTAB_LNC014116)
Source: RNAcentral